ACGUAGGGGGCAAGCGUUAUCCGGAUUUACUGGGUGUAAAGGGAGCGUAGACGGCUCUGCAAGUCUGGAGUGAAAACCCGGGGCUCAACCCUGGGACUGCUUUGGAAACUGUGGAGCUUGAGUACCGGAGGGGUAAGCGGAAUUCCUAGUGUAGCGGUGAAAUGCGUAGAUAUUAGGAGGAACACCAGUGGCGAAGGCGGCUUACUGGACGGUAACUGACGUUGAGGCUCGAAAGCGUGGGGAGCAAACAG
RNAcentral lists this ribosomal RNA (251 nucleotides) under uncultured bacterium. RNAcentral's name for it is "partial 16S ribosomal RNA". It matches the Rfam family "Bacterial small subunit ribosomal RNA", at positions 525 to 775 of the family's 1533-position model. The record is from RNAcentral.